AUGUGCUGGCGUCCAUUAUUGCCGGUGCCUGUGGGCAUCUUCCAGAAGGCCGAGCGUGGGGGUCAGGUGAGACCAGGGCGAGGAUGCAUUGGACAUGCCAACCCUCAUUCACAAAGAUACAUUGUUGGGGGGAGGACUCAAGAUGGCGCUGUGAGAACAACCCAGGAUUGGAGCUCUCCUCGAAUCCGCAGAGAGCUGCUGCCCUGUCCCUGCACACCUUCCAACUAUCCAGCCUUGGGUAGGAUGCACUUGGAAAGACAGACACAGCUGCCUGGGAUCACAUGCCUGGCAAUAUCAACUGGAACCCCAGGACUAGAACAACCUCACCCCACCCUCCUCACCUGUGCCCAGCCUCGAGGUUUCUCGGCUUGCCCAUUAGAAGGGCAGGCUUGCUCACAAUAA
RNAcentral lists this long non-coding RNA (402 nucleotides) under Callithrix jacchus (white-tufted-ear marmoset). RNAcentral describes it as "lncRNA (ENSCJAG00000070624.1)". The record is from RNAcentral. Lineage: Eukaryota; Metazoa; Chordata; Mammalia; Primates; Cebidae.